CGCCCCGAUUCCGGUUGAUCCUGCCGGACCCGACCGCUAUCGGGGUAGGGAUAAGCCAUGGGAGUCUUACACUCCCGGGUAAGGGAGUGUGGCGGACGGCUGAGUAACACGUGGCUAACCUACCCUCGGGACGGGGAUAACCCCGGGAAACUGGGGAUAAUCCCCGAUAGGGAAGGAGUCCUGGAAUGGUUCCUUCCCUAAAGGGCUAUAGGCUAUUUCCCGUUUGUAGCCGCCCGAGGAUGGGGCUACGGCNCAGAUGUGUAUAAGAGACAGUCCCUAAAGGGCUAUAGGCUAUUUCCCGUUUGUAGCCGCCCGAGGAUGGGGCUACGGCCCAUCAGGCUGUCGGUGGGGUAAAGGCCCACCGAACCUAUAACGGGUAGGGGCCGUGGAAGCGGGAGCCUCCAGUUGGGCACUGAGACAAGGGCCCAGGCCCUACGGGGCGCACCAGGCGCGAAACGUCCCCAAUGCGCGAAAGCGUGAGGGCGCUACCCCGAGUGCCUCCGCAAGGAGGCUUUUCCCCGCUCUAAAAAGGCGGGGGAAUAAGCGGGGGGCAAGUCUGGUGUCAGCCGCCGCGGUAAUACCAGCUCCGCGAGUGGUCGGGGUGAUUACCUGUCUCUUAUACACAUCUGAC
Molecule: ribosomal RNA, 631 nt
Filed under: Sulfolobus acidocaldarius
Lineage: Archaea; Thermoproteati; Thermoproteota; Thermoprotei; Sulfolobales; Sulfolobaceae
Description: bacterial SSU rRNA
Rfam family: Archaeal small subunit ribosomal RNA
Source: RNAcentral